UGCAGUCGUACGCUUCUUUUUCCACCGGAGCUUGCUCCACCGGAAAAAGAGGAGUGGCGAACGGGUGAGUAACACGUGGGUAACCUGCCCAUCAGAAGGGGAUAACACUUGGAAACAGGUGCUAAUACCGUAUAACAAUCGAAACCGCAUGGUUUUGAUUUGAAAGGCGCUUUCGGGUGUCGCUGAUGGAUGGACCCGCGGUGCAUUAGCUAGUUGGUGAGGUAACGGCUCACCAAGGCCACGAUGCAUAGCCGACCUGAGAGGGUGAUCGGCCACAUUGGGACUGAGACACGGCCCAAACUCCUACGGGAGGCAGCAGUAGGGAAUCUUCGGCAAUGGACGAAAGUCUGACCGAGCAACGCCGCGUGAGUGAAGAAGGUUUUCGGAUCGUAAAACUCUGUUGUUAGAGAAGAACAAGGAUGAGAGUAACUGUUCAUCCCUUGACGGUAUCUAACCAGAAAGCCACGGCUAACUACGUGCCAGCAGCCGCGGUAAUACGUAGGUGGCAAGCGUUGUCCGGAUUUAUUGGGCGUAAAGCGAGCGCAGGCGGUUUCUUAAGUCUGAUGUGAAAGCCCCCGGCUCAACCGGGGAGGGUCAUUGGAAACUGGGAGACUUGAGUGCAGAAGAGGAGAGUGGAAUUCCAUGUGUAGCGGUGAAAUGCGUAGAUAUAUGGAGGAACACCAGUGGCGAAGGCGGCUCUCUGGUCUGUAACUGACGCUGAGGCUCGAAAGCGUGGGGAGCAAACAGGAUUAGAUACCCUGGUAGUCCACGCCGUAAACGAUGAGUGCUAAGUGUUGGAGGGUUUCCGCCCUUCAGUGCUGCAGCUAACGCAUUAAGCACUCCGCCUGGGGAGUACGACCGCAAGGUUGAAACUCAAAGGAAUUGACGGGGGCCCGCACAAGCGGUGGAGCAUGUGGUUUAAUUCGAAGCAACGCGAAGAACCUUACCAGGUCUUGACAUCCUUUGACCACUCUAGAGAUAGAGCUUCCCCUUCGGGGGCAAAGUGAC
This 1008-nucleotide ribosomal RNA is filed under the name Enterococcus lactis. Its description in RNAcentral is "bacterial SSU rRNA". It matches the Rfam family "Bacterial small subunit ribosomal RNA", at positions 56 to 1035 of the family's 1533-position model. The record is from RNAcentral. Lineage: Bacteria; Bacillati; Bacillota; Bacilli; Lactobacillales; Enterococcaceae.